UACAGAGGUCCCAAGCGUUGUUCGGAUUCACUGGGCGUAAAGGGUGCGUAGGUGGUGGGGUAAGUCGGAUGUGAAAGCUCGGAGCUCAACUCCGAAAUGGCAUUGGAAACUACCCCGCUAGAGGGUCGGAGGGGGGACUGGAAUUCUCGGUGUAGCAGUGAAAUGCGUAGAUAUCAAGUGGAACACCAGUGGCGAAGGCGAGUCCCUGGACAACUCCUGACACUGAGGCACGAAAGCUAGGGGAGCAAACAGG
RNAcentral lists this ribosomal RNA (253 nucleotides) under uncultured bacterium. RNAcentral's name for it is "partial 16S ribosomal RNA". It matches the Rfam family "Bacterial small subunit ribosomal RNA", at positions 524 to 776 of the family's 1533-position model. The record is from RNAcentral.